GGAGAGGUGGCCGAGUGGCUGAAGGCGGCACCCUGCUAAGGUGUUAUAUCCGAUAGGGUAUCGAGGGUUCGAAUCCCUCCCUCUCCGCCA
This 90-nucleotide transfer RNA is filed under the name Magnetococcales bacterium. Its description in RNAcentral is "tRNA-Ser". It matches the Rfam family "tRNA". From Rfam's summary of the family: Transfer RNA (tRNA) molecules are approximately 80 nucleotides in length. Their secondary structure includes four short double-helical elements and three loops (D, anti-codon, and T loops). Lineage: Bacteria; Pseudomonadati; Pseudomonadota; Magnetococcia; Magnetococcales. The record is from RNAcentral.